CAUCAUGCCAACAUGAAAUAACAUUUUAGAAUCAAGAAGAAUAUUUUUCUUCUUACACUAGAUACUUUAGUUAUCUGCAGAUGUCUCCACAUAUCUAGUUUCUCAGGUACCAAUACUUAGCUAUAGUUCUAAGGCAAAAUUCCAACAAGGAACGAGAACAUAGUACUGCAUGACUUUCUUUAUCACCUUCCAGGAUUACAAUACUUAUUUUAAUUAUCUCCAGUUAUUUUGAGGUAAGUAAUGAAGUAGACAUCACCAGAUAUCUAUAAUACUAACUCAUUAUAAUAAUAAGAAAUAAGAAGUUGCAGUGGUAAAUCAUGAUUUUUUCAACUUCAUGACUUCGUAUUUUUUUUCUGGUUAUUUCUAGUUAAAUCUAUUUCACUACUGACAUAGGUACCACCAGAUAUCUGUAGUAUAAACUCAUUAUUUCACAAAAAAAUAAGAAUUUGAGUCUGUGAAGACUGUGCUUUCAAACAUCACUGCACUCCAGUGUAGGCAACACAGCGAGGUGCUGUCUCAAAAAAAGAAAGAAAAAGAAGGAAAGGAAGGAAGAAAGGGAAGAAAGGAAAGAAAGAAAGAAAGGACAGAAAAGAAGGAAGAAGGAAAGAAAAAGGAAGGAAAAUAAAAAGAAGAGAAAGAAGGAAGGAAAAAAGAAGAAAAAGAAAGAAAAGAAAGAAGGUAUUUAUGAGAAUAUUUUCUCACCUCCUUAUCUUUGACGUAGGACAGGCAAGCUGCCAAAUUGGGAUUUUGCCCGGAUGGAGGAUGAGCAGGUAGUGAGAUAGAGCAACUUUUAUUGAACUGGUAUUGCUUCUUGCAGAACAGCACUAACCCAUAGGCAGUGCACCCAGAGCCAGCAGCUGAUGGGCUGUUGGCAGCUGUAUUUAUACCACUUUUAAUUAUGUGCUAAUCAACAGGCAGGUUAUUGAGAACUUUCAAGAAAACGAGUGAGGAGUAUCCAGAAAAUUCAAGAUACGACUAUAGUGUUGAGAAGAAUAUUGUUUCAACUUCCUGGAUUGAUCAACUUUUCUUCAGCAGAGAAUUUAGUGUUGAAAAGAACGUGACUGGCAACUUCCUGCCUUCAACUAGCUAUUCUGGCUAUUUCUGGUUAUUUCUAGGUGGGUCAACUCUUCAAGGAGAACUGUAAACCACUGCUCAACAAAAUAAAAGAGGACACAAACAAAUGGAAGAACAUUCCAUGCUCAUGGAUAGGAAGAAUCAAUAUUGUGAAAAUG
Molecule: long non-coding RNA, 1232 nt
Filed under: Homo sapiens (human)
Lineage: Eukaryota; Metazoa; Chordata; Mammalia; Primates; Hominidae
Description: HSALNT0285825
Source: RNAcentral